Molecule: ribosomal RNA, 188 nt
Filed under: uncultured bacterium
Lineage: Bacteria
Description: partial 16S ribosomal RNA
Rfam family: Bacterial small subunit ribosomal RNA
Source: RNAcentral
AUCGUACGGGAGGCAGCAGUCGGGAAUAUUGCACAAUGGAGGAAACUCUGAUGCAGUGACACCGCGUAUAGGAAGAAGGUCUUAGGAUUGUAAACUCCUUUCGCCCGGGACGAAGCCCACCUGGUGGGUGACGGUACCGUGGAGAAGAAGCACCGGCUAACUACGUGCCAGCAGCCGCGGUAAUCGAU